Molecule: non-coding RNA, 167 nt
Organism: Camponotus floridanus (Florida carpenter ant)
Lineage: Eukaryota; Metazoa; Arthropoda; Insecta; Hymenoptera; Formicidae
Source: Rfam
ACGUUAAUCUGGUGUUGAGAAUUUCGUGAUCAACAAAACGAUUUCUCCGGAGCGAGAUCUCUUACCAUUGCACUACAGUUUAGAAUUGACCUCUGUGAACAUUCAUAACAUGGAUAUGUCAAACACAUAAUUUUUGAUAGUCGGGACUGCAUUCACGCUGUUCCGGA